CCCCACCUUUUUUUCUCUUCUUUUUUUUUGUAUCCUUUUCCUUCUUUUUAUCUUCUGGCAUUAAUUUGAGUCGUGGUGCUCUCAUCCUCCAGCGACAAUGCCUUGCCGAAGCUCUUCCCCUGUCGGAGGAUAUUCUCUUGAAGUCAACGAUAUGAGACCUCCAAAGGAAAGUUCGUCAGUUGACAAGAAAAUCUAAGAAGCUGGAAGAUGAACUUCGUCGG
This 221-nucleotide long non-coding RNA is filed under the name Elaeis guineensis (African oil palm). Its description in RNAcentral is "long non-coding RNA (EGUI_LNC071153)". The record is from RNAcentral. Lineage: Eukaryota; Viridiplantae; Streptophyta; Magnoliopsida; Arecales; Arecaceae.